AACGAACGCUGGCGGCAGGCCUAACACAUGCAGUCGAGCGAAGCCUUCGGGCUUAGCGGCGGACGGGUGAGUAACGCGUGGGAACGUGCCCUUUGGUACGGAAUAGCCCCGGGAAACUGGGAGUAAUACCGUAUGUGGUCGAGAGACGAAAGAUUUAUCGCCAAAGGAUCGGCCCGCGUUGGAUUAGGUAGUUGGUGGGGUAAUGGCCUACCAAGCCGACGAUCCAUAGCUGGUUUGAGAGGAUGAUCAGCCACACUGGGACUGAGACACGGCCCAGGCUCCUACGGGAGGCAGCAGUGGGGAAUCUUAGACAAUGGGGGAAACCCUGAUCUAGCCAUGCCGCGUGAUCGAUGAAGGCCUUAGGGUUGUAAAGAUCUUUCAGUGGGGAAGAUAAUGACUGUACCCACAGAAGAAGCCCCGGCUAACUCCGUGCCAGCCGCCGCGGUAA
RNAcentral lists this ribosomal RNA (448 nucleotides) under uncultured bacterium. RNAcentral describes it as "partial 16S ribosomal RNA". It matches the Rfam family "Bacterial small subunit ribosomal RNA", at positions 29 to 523 of the family's 1533-position model. The record is from RNAcentral.